CAUAAUCAUUAGUUUUUUAAUUGAAAGCUUGUAUGAAUGGUUGAACAAAAGAAGUUCUGUCUCUUUUUUAAAAAUUGAAUUUAACUUUUAAGUGAAAAGGCUUAAAUUUUUUAAGGGGACGAUAAGACCCUAUAAAGCUUUAUAAUAAAAUAAUAAUUUUUGAAAUUAUUUAUAAAGAGAAAUGUAUUAUUUUUUUAUUUUGUUGGGGCGACACAGAUAAAAAUAAAAUUAACUGUCAGGGUAAAAUACAUAUAUUUAUGAAAUUUAAAAGAUCCUAAUUAAAGAUUUAAAGACAAAGUUACUUUAGGGAUAACAGCGUUAUUUCUUUUAAGAGUUCUUAUUGAAAAAGAAGUUUGCGACCUCGAUGUUGAAUUAAAAUAUCUUUACAGUGUAGCCGUUGUAAGAA
RNAcentral lists this ribosomal RNA (406 nucleotides) under Stenocionops furcatus. RNAcentral's name for it is "partial 16S ribosomal RNA". It matches the Rfam family "Archaeal large subunit ribosomal RNA", at positions 2037 to 2639 of the family's 2987-position model. The record is from RNAcentral. Lineage: Eukaryota; Metazoa; Arthropoda; Malacostraca; Decapoda; Majidae.